Lagenorhynchus albirostris (white-beaked dolphin) is the source of this 700-nucleotide long non-coding RNA. RefSeq lists it as uncharacterized. NCBI's taxonomy places the organism in Eukaryota, Metazoa, Chordata, Mammalia, Artiodactyla, Delphinidae. The transcript has 2 exons. The record is from RefSeq and is a predicted model, not a curated record.
CUCCUUCAAGGAAAAAGGCAGGUGCAUAAAUUCACAAACCACCUAACAAAUAAAGGCAAUGCUAAUUAUCACUGACUGCAGGACAUUUGGGGGAGGGUCUCAGCCAAGUCUGCUUUCUAACGGCUCUGAUCUCCCACCCUGACCAGAGCUGGCUAACUGCAGGAAGUUACAUUCAUUCAGAAGCUGGCGCGAGGGCAAUGGUUUGGUUUCCCCCUCGGAACCUGGUGUGUGCAGGAAUGAGCCACGCUGGAUGAGAGCAACUGACUAUUCUGUAAUCACCUCAAGCAGCCACUGCUCAACACCCGACAGCGCCCCAAAAGAAACUUUCCAGGUCAGACCUGCAUUGCAGUCUCAUGCUCCCCUAGCCUCCUCAGCCCCUUCCCCAUUUUCCCUCAUAGCUGUGUCCCUAGUAAAUCUCUUGCUCUCGGCAUCUGCUUCUGGGAGAACUCAGACACUAACACUCCAGAGAAGACGCUGGAUGUCAGAGACAAGCUUCUUGGAUUCCCUGCUUCCUUGCCCUGGAGUCCAACUCAAGGGAUACGGUCCAAUGGCGCAUGCUCUGGGCUGGCAAGAGAAGCCUAUGUACAGAUCUUGGUUCUGCUAAGUUCCAAGGAUAUGGCCUUUGUCUCCCUGGGUCAUUGGUGGAUCCCCAGUGCCUGGCUCAUAUUCACUGCCCAAUUAAAUAUUUGGGAAUGAACAG